Molecule: non-coding RNA, 130 nt
Organism: Paramuricea clavata
Lineage: Eukaryota; Metazoa; Cnidaria; Anthozoa; Malacalcyonacea; Plexauridae
Source: the annotation of a GenBank genome assembly
UUUAUACGCCGAAUAUUGGUCGCGUCGAAUGCAAUUAAUUAAGAUGAGAUGAUAAACCUCAUUAAGGACAUUAAGCUUCAUUAUCUAUUGUUUGAAUUGCAUUCGACGCGACCGAAAUUCGACGUAUAAA